UGGGUGCUUUCUUUCUCCACACACAUUAUUGAUUGGCGGUCUCUGGAGGAGGAACCAACAGCGUUCCAACAGCCCAGAGACACAAACAAAUAACUCGCCGGAGUAACACACUUUCCCCCCUCCGAGAUAAAGCAAGGACCGGCAACAAAAAUCUGCAGAUAAUUUUUGGCACAUUGCGUUAAAAAACAACAACCGUAUCGCGCUCGCGUCUUCGCGUUUGUAAAGCAGUGGGAAAGCGUGCAGUGCAAAAGUCCGCGUGUGCUGCGCUGCAGCGAGAGCCUGUGACCAUGAGCAGUGCCACAGCGCCCACUAUUUCAGCACACGGGAAUAUUAUUUCACAAGACUUGGAACGGCUCAAUAAAAGUUGCUAUUCCUUCGACAACUUUUUUUCCCCUCCUUUGACUUUCGGAAAUGAAUCUGCGCUUUUAUACAAACUCCCCGACCGAAACAGAAAACAACAAAUUACAAGCUCGUGCUCGCUUUUUGCAAUGGCAAUGCUUUUUUUUCUCCUGCAUCCAUAUAGUUUCUACUAAAAACAGCCUCGGUGUUUUACAUCACACGCGAAACUUGUUGGCGCUGGGAACCAGAGAAGCCCGGACUGCAGCACGCAGCGAAAAGAAGCGCAGGCACCGGGUCUGGGACUCAUUCUAGCGACACAGUUCCCGGGAAGAGUAAAAAGUUAUCUCACUGGACGAACAAUCUACCCCUUGAGGAUAUGACAAAUGAUAAGUAUAUGUUGGUGAUGUGCCCGGGAGUUGGAGCCGGCGGCUGAAAGCGUAAUAAGGGAAAAAGAAGACCUACUUUUGGCCAGUUUUCUCGCCCUCGCCUUGGAUCUCAUCUUGUCGGCUUGUAGAUUCCUCUCGUCGUCCUCCGUGAGCCCAGAAGCAGCAACAACACUAUCUUCAUCUCACGAGCAUUAUCACUUAUCUCUUUCCCUCCUCCUCCUCCUCCUCCUCCUCCUCCUCCUCCUCCUCCCUCCCUCUCUCUCCACACCAUCUCACCCUCCUCCCCCUCCCCUUACCCCCGUCCCCAAUUCAACCACCGCCAUUGCCACAGCCAGCACCUCCGUCUUGGAUUUUACCCCUUUAAGAGGGACACGACUUGGUGCAGCACCCUGCGGGGUCCGGUCCGGCCGGGGACACCACCAGGACAAGCACGGACCAGCAGCCGCUGACGGAGCAGCACAGAGCAGACCAGAGCCACCAAAGGACCCGGCCGGGCUGCUUCUCGCCUAUUAAAACAGUGGUAACAGCAACAGCAGCAGCCAUGUAUUUGAUCACCGCCAUCCAUUGACACGAUUGGUUGGUUUGACGUUGGAUUGAUAUAACAGGUAUACAUCCCUUUUUCAAGACGAAUAGAUGUUGCUUUUCUAAUGUAUUAACGACCACUGCAGUGCACCUGUUUGUGUGGGCACGCACGCUGUGAGUGCGUGAGAGCAGGCUGGUCAUAUGGAGCAGUGAGCCGUUGCAGUUAUGGAUAUGUCAAAUUAAGGCCUGCUUUCCUUCAACUGGUUUUAGUGGUACAAUUAUUUGUGUUAGCUUUUCUGAUUGUCUUAAAUAGGCCUACCACAUAUUCUCCUUUAAAUUGGUUUUCCUACGGAGAAGGCAAUUUGGGCUUUUUAUAAUGUUAUCUAAAUAUAAACAAUCGUUGCACGCAGUAUUUAUUUAUUAUGGUUACAAAAAAGUGUAGCCCAUAUUAUUUGAUAAAAAAUAUUACUUUAAAAAGAAAUGAAAUAACAACUGUAUUAUAAGGCAAUUCUUUUUUGCAUUAGUGUUAUUUGUAUUAGUAUUGAUAUGUUUGUUUUAUUAUUAAAUGUUUGAAUAAUA
This is a long non-coding RNA of Gadus morhua (Atlantic cod), 1826 nucleotides long. RefSeq lists it as uncharacterized. Lineage: Eukaryota; Metazoa; Chordata; Actinopteri; Gadiformes; Gadidae. The transcript has 3 exons. The record is from RefSeq and is a predicted model, not a curated record.